UGGGGAAUAUUGCACAAUGGGCGGAAGCCUGAUGCAGCGACGCCGCGUGAGGGAUGACGGCCUUCGGGUUGUAAACCUCUUUCGACAGGGACGAAGCGCGAGUGACGGUACCUGGAGAAGAAGCACCGGCCAACUACGUGCCAGCAGCCGCGGUAAGACGUAGGGUGCGAGCGUUGUCCGGAUUUAUUGGGCGUAAAGAGCUCGUAGGCGGCUCGUCGCGUCGACCGUGAAAACCCACAGCUUAACUGUGGGCUUGCGGUUGAUACGGGCGGGCUAGAGUUCGGUAGGGGAGACUGGAAUUCCUGGUGUAGCGGUGAAAUGCGCAGAUAUCAGGAGGAACACCGGUGGCGAAGGCGGGUCUCUGGGCCGAGUACUGACGCUGAGGAGCGAAAGCGUGGGGAGCGAACAGGAUUAGAUACCCUGGUAGUCCACGCUGUAAACGUUGGGCGCUAGGUGUGGGGGGCCUCGUCCGGUUCUCUGUGCCGCAGCUAACGCAUUAAG
This 501-nucleotide ribosomal RNA is filed under the name uncultured Actinomycetes bacterium. RNAcentral's name for it is "bacterial SSU rRNA". It matches the Rfam family "Bacterial small subunit ribosomal RNA", at positions 355 to 864 of the family's 1533-position model. The record is from RNAcentral. Lineage: Bacteria; Bacillati; Actinomycetota; Actinomycetes.